RNAcentral lists this long non-coding RNA (1125 nucleotides) under Olea europaea subsp. europaea. The record is from RNAcentral. Lineage: Eukaryota; Viridiplantae; Streptophyta; Magnoliopsida; Lamiales; Oleaceae.
AAAUUUUCUAAUGCCAUUGAGAAGGCUGGUUUUGGUCAAUCGCAUUCAGAUUACUCCUUAUUUGUGAAGACUAAAGGUCCAUCCACAACUAUGGUGCUUAUCUAUGUAGAUGACAUAGUGAUAACGAGCAAGGAUAAUGCAGCUAUACAAAGUCUGAAACAUUGUCUACACAAACGAUUUCAUAUCAAGGAUCUAGGCCCUCUAAAAAAAUUUCUUGGGUUGGAAGUUACAAGAUCUAAAGCAGGUAUUGUUAUCUCUCAAAGAAAAUACACUUUAGAGAUUAUAAAUGAUGUUGGUUACUUGGGUGCUCAGCCUUCAAAUUUCCCAACGGAAGUGAACCUAAAGCUUACGAAUGAUCAAGGUGACUUGCUACAUCAUCCAGAGCGCUAUAGGAGAUUAAUUGGACAGCUAAUCUAUCUUACAAUCACAAGGCCAGACAUUGCAUACUCAGUCAACAUUCUAAGUCAAUUUAUGCAUGCUCCAAGAAAGCCUCAUUGGGAUGCUACUCUUCACACAAUAAAUACCUUAAAGGUAGUCCAGGUUUGGGCCUAUUGUUUUCAUCAAGCAAUUCCUUCAACUUGAAGGCUUAUUGCGAUACAAAUUGGGCAAAAUGUCCUAAGGCUAGAAGAUCGACCACAGGUUAUUGUGUAUUCUUGGGAAAUUCACUGAUUUCAUGGAAAGCAAAGAAACAGAAAACAGUCUCAAGAUCAUCAUCAGAAGCUGAAUACAUGUCCAUGGCAGCCGCAACUUGUGAACUAACAUGGCUCAGAUUUUUGCUAAAUGACAUGCAGAUUUUGAUCGGACCAGCAAAAUUGCUGUAUGAUAAUCAAGCUACACUUCACAUAGCAGCAAAUCCGGUAUAUCAUGAACGCACCAAGCACAUAGAACUUGACUAUCAUGUUGUAAGAGAAAAAAUACAAAAUGGUCAGAUUCUCACAGAAUUUGUGCCGUCAUACUUGCAGUUGGCAAAAGUAUUUACAAAAGCUCUUGGAGGAAAUGCAUUUAAGGAACUCAAAAGCAAGUUGAACAUGUUGGAUAUACAUGCUUCAACUUAAGGGGGAGUGUUAAGAUUUGCAAAGAUUACAAAAGAUUACAGCAACUUAAAUUUGGAAAUAAUUCUACUGU